GCGUAUACAAGGAUAAAGCUUAUAACAGUAGUAAUUGUUGCUAUCAAACGAACAACAUAUAUUCUAUUUUCAGAUAGCAA
Non-coding RNA from Bradyrhizobium elkanii, 80 nucleotides. The record is from Rfam. NCBI's taxonomy places the organism in Bacteria, Pseudomonadati, Pseudomonadota, Alphaproteobacteria, Hyphomicrobiales, Nitrobacteraceae.